AAUAGACUAAAAUACCCCUUCUUAAAUAUUUGCAAUUUUCCAAAAACAAAAUCCUCUCUACUCUUUCUCUCACUAUGCUCUUGUCUCUCUCGCUCUAUUCUCUCUCUCUCUCUGGGCUGAUUCCGUUGCUCCAAUCGAUUGAGAGAGGCGACUCGAGAAUGAAGAGGACGAAGUCGGAAGCCAGUCGCCGGGAGUUACAGCGGCGGCAGCGAUUUCGGAUUUAAGAGGAAAAUUAGGGCUUGAUUCAAUUUGAUAAAUUGGGGGCGAAUUUAGAGGGAGAAGGAGAAUCUAGGCGAUGAGGCGUUUGAGGUUGAGAGAGAGGAGCGGGCGUGGAGCGACGCCCUCGGCUGGACGCGGCCUCGCUGGGGCCAUACGCGGUGGAGCUCGUGAGGAGACGGAGAGAGAAAGAGAUGUUGGGCGGCGUGUCUGAUUUUUGAGAGAGAGAGAGAAGAGCUCUCCCUCUCUACACUCUCUCUCCCCCUUUUUUUUCUCUUCCGGCAGCGGAUCUUCGUACUACGGCUGUGGCAGGAGGUGAGGGCGGCGGCUGAGGCGCAUUGCGGUGUGGCGCUCCUGCCGUGGUUGAACGCGAUCUCGAUCUCCACCUCUAGAGCUACGUUGUCGACGGCGCUGUCGUCGGAAGCGGAUCUGCUGCAAGCGGCGGUGAAGAUGCUGCUGGUGGUUGUCGUGAUGUCGAAUCCGGCGAUCUGUAAAUCGAAAUUUCAGAUUUGGAGCUGCCCAGCCAAGUCCGCCGGAGAGAAGGCGGUGGACGACGACGAGCUCGAGUACUUAGGGUCUCCGGUUGAUUAAUCUCGGUCAUUUAUUCUUUUUUGUCGAAUUUUGUGAUGUAUUGUCUUCUCAAACUAUUGGUUUGCUAUCCUUACAACUGUUGGAAAUAUGUGAAUUUCGAUUUUAUGGUGAUAUAUGUUGAUGAAAAUCGCUCAAUUUUGUUCAAAUGUUUUUGAAUUCACAACUGAAUUAUUAACAUUGGUUGUGAAUUCACAAUUGAAAUAGUGUUGGUUGUGAAUUCAAGUUUCGUUGGUUGUGAAUUCACAAUUUGAAAUAAUGUUGGUUGUGAAUUCACAACUUGAAAUAUUAUUGGGUGUGAAUUCAUGCGAAUUCACAACCGACACUUGUUAUUCACAACCAAUACGUGAAUUUAGUUGUGAAUUCGAUUUGAAUUCACAACCAAUAAACAGUGGAUAUUUGUAAAAAAUUUAUAUGUAAG
Molecule: long non-coding RNA, 1225 nt
Filed under: Salvia miltiorrhiza (redroot sage)
Lineage: Eukaryota; Viridiplantae; Streptophyta; Magnoliopsida; Lamiales; Lamiaceae
Description: long non-coding RNA (SMIL_LNC008762)
Source: RNAcentral